ACAAAUUUCCUUUCUCACUUUACUUUGAUUCUUUCUGUAGAGGUGUCAACUACACUGGGAUCCACUCAACUAGAUGAUAACAAAAGCAAAAUAAUCACAUAUUUUGUGGCCCCCUGCCUCUGCUAAUCAGGGGAUGGUACUAAAGUCUCUUAAGAGACAUUAACAGAGCAGCUACUGAAGAUGAUAAACAUAUGAGAUCUCACACAGCUCUUGUAAUAUACAUUAAGCCCAUAGGAAUGGCUUGGGAUCUUGCAGUUAAAAUACCUCACAGACCACUGCCAUGGCCAUGUGCUCCUUCUCCAGUCCCUGGCCCGGCCCCUGUAUACAAUAUCUGCAGCUUGCAGCAGGCUGUAGCUGUACUGGUGUUACAUGUGACCUGUGUGCUGUGGCUGGUACCAGCAUUGUGGAUUAACCUCACAUUUAGGGGGUGUUUGGGAAACACCUGUUAAAAUUUAACACCUGUCACAUCGGAUGUUUGGAUGCUAAUUAGAAGUACUAAACAUAAGCUAAUUACAAAACUAAUUGCACAGAUGGAGUAUAAUUCGCGAGACGAAUCUAUUAAGCCUAAUUAGUCCAUGAUUUGACAAUGUGGUGCUACAGUAACCAUUUGCUAAUGAUGGAUUAAUUAGGCUUAAUAGAUUCGUCUCGCGAAUUAGCACAAGGUUCUGCAAUUAGUUUUAUAAUUAGCUCAUGUUUAGUCCUCCUAAUUAGCAUCCAAACCUAGUGGAGGUGGCUGUAGUUGCAGAGUACAUCA
RNAcentral lists this long non-coding RNA (754 nucleotides) under Setaria italica (foxtail millet). RNAcentral's name for it is "long non-coding RNA (SITA_LNC007211)". The record is from RNAcentral. Lineage: Eukaryota; Viridiplantae; Streptophyta; Magnoliopsida; Poales; Poaceae.